GAUGAACGCUGGCGGCGUGCCUAAUACAUGCAAGUCGAGCGAACGGACGAGAAGCUUGCUUUUCUGAUGUUAGCGGCGGACGGGUGAGUAACACGUGGAUAACCUACCUAUAAGACUGGGAUAACUUCGGGAAACCAGAGCUAAUACCGGAUGAUAUUUUGAACCGCAUGGUUCAAAAGUGAAAGACGGUCUUGCUGUCACUUAUAGAUGGAUCCGCGCUGCAUUAGCUAGUUGGUAAGUUAACGGCUUACCAAGGCAACGAUGCAUAGCCGACCUGAGAGGGGGAUCGGCCACACUGGAACUGAGACACGGUCCAGACUCCUACGGGAGGCAGCAGUAGGGAAUCUUCCGCAAUGGGCGAAAGCCUGACGGAGCAACGCCGCGUGAGUGAUGAAGGUCUUCGGAUCGUAAAACUCUGUUAUUAGGGAAGAACAUAUGUGUAAGUAACUGUGCACAUCUUGACGGUACCUAAUCAGAAAGCCACGGCUAACUACGUG
Molecule: ribosomal RNA, 497 nt
Filed under: uncultured bacterium
Lineage: Bacteria
Description: partial 16S ribosomal RNA
Rfam family: Bacterial small subunit ribosomal RNA
Source: RNAcentral